RNAcentral lists this long non-coding RNA (4905 nucleotides) under Phaseolus vulgaris (common bean). RNAcentral describes it as "long non-coding RNA (PVUL_LNC002546)". The record is from RNAcentral. Lineage: Eukaryota; Viridiplantae; Streptophyta; Magnoliopsida; Fabales; Fabaceae.
AAAAAUUUAAACCUUUUUUAAAGGAUUGCUUGCAUUUGAUACGGGAGAAGUCAUCGUCGUUCAUAGCCUUAAAUUUAGGCUAUGAACAAGGUGAGCAGUGUCGUUCUUAGUUUGAGCGUGAGCAGCGUGCCAUUGUUGUCCAUAUAGAGAGGGGAGUAGUCACUGUUAACGCUUGAGCUUGAGCAGCGUGCCACCGUGAUGGAGUAGCCGUGCCACCGUGAGAACGCAAACGGAGUCUCUACGAUUUUGCCCUAGGUUUUCAUCUCGAUUCCUUUCUUUCUGUGUUGUGUAAUUUUGUUAUUGAUUCCAACUCUUUCUCGUUUUUAGACAAUGAGAUAUUAGAGAAUUUGUUUCACCAUAUUCAGUUGAGUGAUUUCCACAUGCUUCAACCUUAAACACAUUCCAAAAACUUGAAAAACCCUUCCAAUAGCGCCCUGAAUUUCCAAAAUUUCCCAAAUUUCCCAAAUGCUGCCCUCAGAAACGAAACCACAAAUUUAAGAACAAGCUCCUACACUGAUAGUCGUGGUUCUUCUUUGGUUCUUUCUUCCAAUUUACAUGCUACUUGUGCUCGCGGUAACAGUUCAUUCUUCUGUAGUUUUUUCUUCUACAGUUCGUUUUUAUUUCGAUUUUCUCAUUGGUUAGGGUUCAUGGUGACCUAAGUAGAGUUGAUCAUUCUCUUGUAAUUGCUUUUGUCACUAUGUUUGGACUAAUAUGCAUAUCUCUAUAUAUCACACCAUGCAUCUAUGACCUCCCUGUACCUCAAAUCAACUCAUAUGUAAUCAUACUCCUUGCCUUUUCUCCAAUAAACAAUUUUGUAGACUCUAUUUGACUAUUUUUAUAAUUAUAUACAUAUAUAUUCCCAUGGACAAUAUAUAUUGUUAUGAGCGUGGACAAUGCAUACUGGUGUUGUUGCCAUUAAUCAAAUCAGUCUUUAAUAAGAUGUUUGGUUUGGUGGAGAAUUAGAUUUAAAUCGAAGUUGGUUUAUAUAAAGGAAAUAAAAAAAAUCGAAGUUGUUCCUACCGACCAUGUUGUUUUUCCCUGUUUCUUUUUUCUUUUAUAAAUUAUCAUUUUCCACAUUUUUUAAUCUACUUUUUCUUAAAAAAUACUCAAAACUGUAACAAUAUUUGUGUAUUGAAGUUGCUGAAAUUUGUAUCAUUCUUAUAGGUAACCUUUUUUCUUCCUUUCUCUCAUGUUUGUUCUGUUAAAGUUUUCAUGAUUUAUCUUGAGAAAUGAAGUUGCUUGCUAAGUGUUUGAGCUACAUUUCUAAGGUUGAAAUAUUGAGUACUAGUUGAUUUCUAAUGUACCCUUAAACAAUAUCCAUCAUAAUUUUAAAAUGAUAGGGCAAUUUGUGAUGCUUUACUUUUUUUAAUUUGUUUAUAGCAGUGUAUUUGUAAAGGAGCUAGUUAGUAUACUUUGAAUGUUUUGGAAGGAAAUUUUAUUGAAGUUUUUUAUCAAAUCUUUGGAGUCAUUAUUUAUGACAAUAAUCAUGCUCUUCCAGAGUCUGAAGAUGUAGAGUAACAGCUCUGAAGAUGUAGAGUAACAGCUGUGUUUUCAGGUGGAAAACAAAUAUGGCUUAACAGUUCUUAUUUGUUUGCAGAUCACAACCAUAAUCAAUUCAGAAUAGAAGAAUAGUGCUUUGAGGUGAGUGUUCAAACUAUUUUGUUAAAGAAAUCAGCAAAUGAAAUGUUAUGGUAAACAUUGAAAGCAAAGUUGAAAGUUGAAUGUUAUAAUAAAAGGGCAUUCUUUUCUUAUUUUAUUAUUAUUGAUAACAGUUCUUACACAGGACAAGUUAUUUUCUAUCAAAUAUUCUAACAAUACUAUACUGCUUAUAGGUCCAAACUAUCAAUUCUGUGUGAUGCUGAGGUUGCUCUCAGGUACCAUUAUUUCUCCUCCUUCAACUUUCCCUUUUCUUCUUCUUAAAUUAAUGUGUGAAUGCUUAUGCUUCCUGUAAUUUUAGCACCCCUCUUGCAACCAAGACUAGUUCCUUUAAUAUGUGACCUUGUAAAUUUCAUGCAUACCUAUAAAAUUUCACUUGUAAUGAUCCGUGUGAAAAGGUUAUUCAUAAUUUUGUGUAGGUUUAUGUGCAUGAUGUGACUACUGUUAGUUCCCUGGAAUAUAUGUAGCUGAAGGUAAUUGAGACUUUAUGAAAUUAUCAUUAAUUUAAAAUGUGUUAUCAAGGAUUGAAAUUGACCACAGUGUGCGUGUGACAAUUCCUAGAAAAGAAUUAUGAAUAAGAAAUGAGUGAAUGUUAAAGAAUAAAGAGGCAUAAUGUUAGCAGUAAUUAUCUAGUGUUGUGCAGGUUGUUAGAAUUCACAUAUUCAGAUAUUCAGAUAUUCAGAUAUAAAAUUAGAAUGAUUAGAAUUCACAUAUUCAGAUUGUUAGGUCUAAGUUAAUAUAACUGUUUCCAAAGGUAAUAAAAUGAUUAGCAGCUGCAGUUGAUGAGGGAAAUUGCAUCAUGUCUUUGCUAUUCUCAUCACUUUGCAUCAUGGAAAUUAGAGGUGUGCUAAAGGAGAAAAAUCUCAUUCUUAUUAUUCUCAUUCAUACCCUUUUACAGUAGUUUCUUAAUUUUAUUCUUUUCUUCACAUGUAUAAGUUUUAUCUUAAACUAUUCUUCUCCUUUUAUGCAUGAAACAUGUCUCCAAGUAACAUUAUUAUACUUUGUUUCAGAUCUAGAACAACCUAUUUGCUCGAUUACUGGUUUGCCUGCCAAGUAAGAUCUCUUUUAUCAACUUGGUAGUUCUUGCAUUUUUCUUUUCUAAUGUUGCAGUUCUUGGUUAAAAUUGUCUUUGGAUAGCUUGUAUUCUUGUUAUUUAUGUUAUUAGUACUUGAGUAUUUUUUUGGGAUGGGAAGUUUGGAUAUGCUUUCCUUGCAUAGAACAAUCGGUUUUAUGUUAUCUACUGUUAAGGAAUUCUUUAGUCUAUUUCCACUAUACCCACAUAUUGUUAAGGAAUUCUCUCUGGAAUAAUAUAGGUAUCGUGAUCCAAAGACUGGCCUGCCAUAUAACUCUUUUCCUUGUAUUAACUAAUUCUGUUUUAGUCCACUUAUUGCACAUCACUCAUAAUGCCAUUUGUAUGUACUUCAACCAUACUUUAUUUUUUUGGUCCAUAAUUGUUCUUUUGUGGGUUUGGAACUUGAUCUUGAGCAUUAUGUAUAUGCAGCUAACUUGACAGAGAAUCCAAGGUCACCGGUUAGUGGGUCUGGCAGCAAUUCAUCUCCCCAUCAAGGUUUUACUUUCAAAACUGCAUUCUGUAAUUAUGAUAAUUGACUAAUUAAAAACAUAAAUUGGUCCAUUGAUCCCUUUACUAAAUUUUUGCUGCUUACUUUCAACCUGUUCAUUUUUUCACCAUGAAUCCUCACUUUUUUUUGUAAUGUAUCUGCAAUUGGAUGUACAUAAGAAUUUAAUUGGUUCAAGAUUAAACAUGUCUUCUGCGCUUCGUAUUUUUAUAUUAGGUGAUAACAUGAUUGUACUUAUUCAUAAUAACUAAUUAGACUUACAGACAAGGUAAAGAAUCAUCAAAUUUUUUUCUACAGGUUUUAUUGCUAAUAAAUAUUUUAUGUAUUUUUUCUUAUUGUUUUCAUUUGUUUCUCAUUUUUUUUAGACUGCUUUUGGUAUUUGGUAUAUGAAGAACCUAUAAUCUACUGGGCUGCCGAUUUUCAAUGGAAUGCCUUAAAAAACAACUGUUCCUAAGAUCCUGAAUAUAACCACCAAGAUAUCACUAUACAUGUAUGAUCUGCCCUUUUGUUGCCUUUGUUUUGGAAGAAAAGACUAAAAGGGGCUUAUUUUGCAGCCAAACAAGCUUCUCUUGUCUCCCCCAUUUUACCUUCAUUUCCACAUAUGUAAAUGUCUAAAACCCUUAAUUUCUGCAAAUUUCUACCGGUAAAAAGAUAAGGAAAAUUCUACAUAAAUCAUUAUUUGGUUAAAUUUCUUGGUAGUUCUUGUAGUUUAACAAAUUUUACAUUUUAAUUCUUAUAAAUUUUACAUUUUAAUUCUUAUAUGAAAGACCAUCAAUUUUAGAUUUUAUGCAUUGUAUUUUUAAUCUUCUUUAGUCAUUAUGAAUUUAAAUAAAGUGAAAUGUAUGCUAUAACUAAUUAAACUUAGAGAUGGUACCAAUAAAAGACUAAUAUGAGAGAAUGAAUAGUCAAUAUUACAUAUGUCUGGUGCUGAUUUGGAGUUUAAAAAUUUGCAUUUAUUUAUUGUAUAGUAUUUUUUCUUCGAUAGAGAAAGAUUAUAUGAAAAAAAUGAGAAAAAGUAUGAUAUAAGAUAAUCUAUACUAUUAUUAAAUACAAACUAAUAUUUUAAAAAAUAGUUAUUAUAAAUUGAAAAUUAUUGAUCUUUCUGUGCUUAACCACUUUUUAUUCAUCAAUAUAAUAAUUUAUUCAUUACGUUUGUUUUUUAGUUUUUAACUUAUCAAUUCAUUGAUGUUUUUUUCUUUUUAAUGCUAUUGAAAAAAAAGGAAAUUAAAAAAUAUUAAUAUUUAAUAUUUAAAAUCCAAACUUUUCUUUAAAAGUGGAGUUCAAUGGCUGCCAAUAAUAGGGCAUACAAAAAAAAAAUUAUGUGUCCACAUAUCCAAGGUUAAGCCCAUUCUAAUUUCAUUGUCACUUUACCAAGGUCAAGCCCUCGCUUUAUUCUAAUUUUAUUGUCCCCCUGUCCAAGGCUAAGUUCACGCUUUAUUUUUAAUUUUAUUGUCCCCUUAUCCAAGGCUAAGCCCACGCUAAUUUUAUUGUCCCCCUAGCUAAGCCUAAGCCCUCACUUUCUGUCCAAGGCUAAGCCCCCGCUUAAGUUAACAUUUGUAAUUUUUUGUGUUGGCAACUUGUAGGCAAAGCCCACGCAAGCCAACUUAUUGCGACGCCACGCACCCGACAAUUUUUUUUGCGACAAGGAUAUUAGCUUCAAAGUUGUGUGAAG